Molecule: transfer RNA, 68 nt
Filed under: Terapon jarbua (Jarbua terapon)
Lineage: Eukaryota; Metazoa; Chordata; Actinopteri; Centrarchiformes; Terapontidae
Description: tRNA-Ser
Source: RNAcentral
GAAAGAGGCUUGCCAGCAACGAAAGCUGCUAACUUCCGUGCCCCUGGUUGGACUCCAGGGCUCAUUCA